GUUCAGCUGACGAGUCCUAAAUAGGACGAAACGCGCGUCCUGAAU
Molecule: non-coding RNA, 45 nt
Filed under: Schistosoma mansoni
Lineage: Eukaryota; Metazoa; Platyhelminthes; Trematoda; Strigeidida; Schistosomatidae
Source: RNAcentral